CACAAGUAGGUGUGUUUGAUCAAGGUUGGAGCUAAACUCUGCAGCGCUUUGGCACUCUAGGGCAACAUCUGAGGAACCUGGUGUAGGUUUACCUGCAAAUCACUUUCGGGUCACAACCCAAUAGCUGGGAUCCACUGGCUUACAGUACAUAACCAGCAGACCCAGUACUUAUUACAGUGGCAUCAUUAAACAAGACACGGCACAUCUGGCUAAUGCUACAGACGACAAGUAAGAGCAAGUCUAACCUCAUGAGAGCCAUAGAUAAAGACUUUAGCAGAGGCACUGACCUCCUGCGUAUGGCCUACCUGCGGAACAGCUGCAGUAAUGUCCUCAGUCAGGACACUUACCCAAGAACUCUGCAUUUCCAGUGCACUGCAGUACCAGGAGAUGGAAUGAUCAGGGACUUUUUCCGUGAUCCCAAAGCAUGGUGGUGAGGGGUAGGCAUUCCAAGAGGAUCUGUGUCAGGUCAUCGCUGAUGGAGAACACUCUCUUAAUGAAAGAGAUGUCUUCUUCCUUCACAUCAUAGAUUAAGCUUAUCACCAAUU
Molecule: long non-coding RNA, 545 nt
Organism: Carassius auratus (goldfish)
Lineage: Eukaryota; Metazoa; Chordata; Actinopteri; Cypriniformes; Cyprinidae
Exons: 4
Source: RefSeq, a predicted model, not a curated record